CUGAGUGGUUGUUAGCCAAGAUGGCCGUAGCGAUCGCUGCAGCGAGGGUCUGGCGGCCAAACCGUGGCCUGAGCCAGGCUGCCCUCCUGCUGCUGCGGCGGCCUGGGGCUCGGGGACUGGCUAGAUCUCACCCCCACAGGCAGCAGCAGCAGUUUUCAUCUCUGGAUGACAAGCCCCAGUUCCCAGGGGCCUCGGCGGAGUUUAUAGAUAAGUUGGAAUUCAUCCAGCCCAACGUCAUCUCUGGAAUCCCUAUCUACCGCGUCAUGGACCGGCAAGGCCAGAUCAUCAACCCCAGCGAGGACCCCCACGUGAGAGGCGGCCUCCCCCACUUCCCGUGCCCCCCACGCCCAGGCCCCUUGCCUGUCUCCUCUCUGGUCCCAACCGCCCCACGUCUAUCUGUGCCUCCACCCGCAGCUGCCGAAGGAGAAGGUGCUGAAGCUCUACAAGAGCAUGACACUGCUUAACACCAUGGACCGCAUCCUCUAUGAGUCUCAGCGGCAGGGCCGGAUCUCCUUCUACAUGACCAACUAUGGUGAGGAGGGCACGCACGUGGGGAGUGCCGCCGCCCUGGACAACACGGACCUGGUGUUUGGCCAGUACCGGGAGGCAGGUGUGCUGAUGUAUCGGGACUACCCCCUGGAACUAUUCAUGGCCCAGUGCUAUGGCAACAUCAGUGACUUGGGCAAGGGGCGCCAGAUGCCCGUCCACUAUGGCUGCAAGGAACGCCACUUCGUCACUAUCUCCUCUCCACUGGCCACGCAGAUCCCUCAGGCGGUGGGGGCGGCCUACGCAGCCAAGCGGGCCAACGCCAACAGG
RNAcentral lists this small RNA (816 nucleotides) under Pongo abelii (Sumatran orangutan). RNAcentral's name for it is "retained intron". The record is from RNAcentral. Lineage: Eukaryota; Metazoa; Chordata; Mammalia; Primates; Hominidae.